AAAUUGAAGAGUUUGAUCAUGGCUCAGAUUGAACGCUGGCGGCAGGCCUAACACAUGCAAGUCGAACGGUAACAGGAAGCAGCUUGCUGCUUUGCUGACGAGUGGCGGACGGGUGAGUAAUGUCUGGGAAACUGCCUGAUGGAGGGGGAUAACUACUGGAAACGGUGGCUAAUACCGCAUAACGUCGCAAGACCAAAGAGGGGGACCUUCGGGCCUCUUGCCAUCAGAUGUGCCCAGAUGGGAUUAGCUUGUUGGUGAGGUAACGGCUCACCAAGGCGACGAUCCCUAGCUGGUCUGAGAGGAUGACCAGCCACACUGGAACUGAGACACGGUCCAGACUCCUACGGGAGGCAGCAGUGGGGAAUAUUGCACAAUGGGCGCAAGCCUGAUGCAGCCAUGCCGCGUGUAUGAAGAAGGCCUUCGGGUUGUAAAGUACUUUCAGCGGGGAGGAAGGUGUUGUGGUUAAUAACCGCAGCAAUUGACGUUACCCGCAGAAGAAGCACCGGCUAACUCCGUGCCAGCAGCCGCGGUAAUACGGAGGGUGCAAGCGUUAAUCGGAAUUACUGGGCGUAAAGCGCACGCAGGCGGUCUGUCAAGUCGGAUGUGAAAUCCCCGGGCUCAACCUGGGAACUGCAUUCGAAACUGGCAGGCUUGAGUCUUGUAGAGGGGGGUAGAAUUCCAGGUGUAGCGGUGAAAUGCGUAGAGAUCUGGAGGAAUACCGGUGGCGAAGGCGGCCCCCUGGACAAAGACUGACGCUCAGGUGCGAAAGCGUGGGGAGCAAACAGGAUUAGAUACCCUGGUAGUCCACGCCGUAAACGAUGUCUACUUGGAGGUUGUGCCCUUGAGGCGUGGCUUCCGGAGCUAACGCGUUAAGUAGACCGCCUGGGGAGUACGGCCGCAAGGUUAAAACUCAAAUGAAUUGACGGGGGCCCGCACAAGCGGUGGAGCAUGUGGUUUAAUUCGAUGCAACGCGAAGAACCUUACCUGGUCUUGACAUCCACGGAACUUUCCAGAGAUGGAUUGGUGCCUUCGGGAACCGUGAGACAGGUGCUGCAUGGCUGUCGUCAGCUCGUGUUGUGAAAUGUUGGGUUAAGUCCCGCAACGAGCGCAACCCUUAUCCUUUGUUGCCAGCGGUCCGGCCGGGAACUCAAAGGAGACUGCCAGUGAUAAACUGGAGGAAGGUGGGGAUGACGUCAAGUCAUCAUGGCCCUUACGACCAGGGCUACACACGUGCUACAAUGGCGCAUACAAAGAGAAGCGACCUCGCGAGAGCAAGCGGACCUCAUAAAGUGCGUCGUAGUCCGGAUUGGAGUCUGCAACUCGACUCCAUGAAGUCGGAAUCGCUAGUAAUCGUGGAUCAGAAUGCCACGGUGAAUACGUUCCCGGGCCUUGUACACACCGCCCGUCACACCAUGGGAGUGGGUUGCAAAAGAAGUAGGUAGCUUAACCUUCGGGAGGGCGCUUACCACUUUGUGAUUCAUGACUGGGGUGAAGUCGUAACAAGGUAACCGUAGGGGAACCUGCGGUUGGAUCACCUCCUUACCUUAAAG
RNAcentral lists this ribosomal RNA (1550 nucleotides) under Salmonella enterica subsp. enterica serovar Montevideo. Its description in RNAcentral is "bacterial SSU rRNA". It matches the Rfam family "Bacterial small subunit ribosomal RNA". Lineage: Bacteria; Pseudomonadati; Pseudomonadota; Gammaproteobacteria; Enterobacterales; Enterobacteriaceae. The record is from RNAcentral.